Molecule: long non-coding RNA, 1176 nt
Organism: Vicia villosa (hairy vetch)
Lineage: Eukaryota; Viridiplantae; Streptophyta; Magnoliopsida; Fabales; Fabaceae
Exons: 5
Source: RefSeq, a predicted model, not a curated record
AGCGAGCUCGGGACAAUCUUAUAAUGGCGUGGACUCUAGCCGCAGACAGAAACGAGGAAUGGUUCUUCCUUUCGAGCCACAUUCUAUAACCUUUUACCAAGUUGUGUAUUCUGUCGACAUGCCUCAGGAAAUGAAGGUUCAAGGGGUAAUAGAGGAUAGGUUGGUGCUUUUGAAGGGUGUUAGUGGUGCAUUUAGGCCUGGUGUUCUCACAGCAUUGAUGGGAGUUAGUGGAGCUGGAAAAACUACUUUAAUGGAUGUUUUGGCCGGUAGGAAAACCGGUGGUUACAUCGACGGGAGCAUAAAAAUUUCUGGAUACCCUAAAAGAUAAGAAACGUUUGCUCGAAUCUCUGGUUAUUGCGAGCAGAAUGAUAUCCAUUCUCCUCAUGUUACAGUCCACGAGUCAUUGCUCUACUUGGCUUGGCUUCGUUUACCAUCAAAAGUGACUUAUAAUACAAGGAAGAUGUUCAUUGAGGAAGUAAUGGAACUAGUGGAGCUGAAUCCAUUGAGAAACUCUUUGGUUGGUUUGCCUGGCGUAAACGGUGUUUCAACCUAACAAUGCAAUAGGCUAACUAUUGCAGUUGAAUUAGUGGCCAAUCCGUCGAUAAUUUUCAUGGACGAGCCUACAUCUGGAUUAGAUGCUAGAGCUGCUGCAAUUGUUAUGCGAACCGUUAGGAACACAGUUGACACAGGAAGAACUGUUGUUUGCACCAUUCAUCAACCAAGUAUCGACAUAUUCGAAGCUUUCGAUGAGUAUAUCAGUGGUUUAUGAAGGCGAGAGGAGCAGAAUACUGUCAUCCAUAAAAUAGUUAAACGUGUUUGUCUAUUAGCACGUAGUUCAAAUGCAUGUCUUUAGAUUGACACUUCGGACAUGGGACUGUGUUACUGGUCAAUGUACUAAUUUGACGAAUCUUGGUGCUAAAGCUACCUCUUUGAUCAGUGAGGGCCCGUGGAUUUUUGUUGGUCUGCCUAACAUUGUCAAGACUUUGCUUGAGAAGAUGAAGUCGGUGUAUACGAAUGUAGAAGGUCUUCCUCCGGAUCGAAUUGUGGAAAACAAUUGCUUCUCCAGGGCGUGGUAUUUUGGCCAUGGAUGAAUCCAAUGCUACAUGUGGAAAGCGGUUGGAUUCAAUUGGACUAGAGAACACCGAAGCUAACCGUCAAGUAUGGCGUAAAAUUAUA